UACGUAGGGUGCGAGCGUUAAUCGGAAUUACUGGGCGUAAAGCGUGCGCAGGCGGUUUUGUAAGCCAGAUGUGAAAUCCCCGGGCUUAACCUGGGAACUGCAUUUGGGACUGCAAGGCUUGAGUACGGCAGAGGGGGGUAGAAUUCCUGGUGUAGCAGUGAAAUGCGUAGAGUAUCAGGAGGAAUACCGAUGGCGAAGGCAGCCCCCUGGGUCGAUACUGACGCUCAUGCACGAAAGCGUGGGGAGCAAACAGG
RNAcentral lists this ribosomal RNA (254 nucleotides) under uncultured bacterium. RNAcentral describes it as "partial 16S ribosomal RNA". It matches the Rfam family "Bacterial small subunit ribosomal RNA", at positions 524 to 776 of the family's 1533-position model. The record is from RNAcentral.